CCUUGAUGUCUGCUCUGGCCAUGCUU
RNAcentral lists this non-coding RNA (26 nucleotides) under Homo sapiens (human). The record is from RNAcentral. Lineage: Eukaryota; Metazoa; Chordata; Mammalia; Primates; Hominidae.